This is a small nuclear RNA of Grammomys surdaster, 106 nucleotides long. Lineage: Eukaryota; Metazoa; Chordata; Mammalia; Rodentia; Muridae. The record is from RefSeq and is a predicted model, not a curated record.
GUACUCACUUUGGAAGCACAUAUACUAAAAUCUGAAGAUACAGAGAAUAUUAGCAUUGUCUUUGUGUAAGGAUGACCCACAAACUCAUUGUGUCUUCCACAUUUUU